AUUGAACGCUGGCGGCAUGCCUUACACAUGCAAGUCGAACGGCAGCGGGGGAGAAGCUUGCUUUUCCUGCCGGCGAGUGGCGAACGGGUGAGUAAUACAUCGGAACGUGCCCUGUAGUGGGGGAUAACUAGUCGAAAGAUUAGCUAAUACCGCAUACGACCUGAGGGUGAAAGUGGGGGACCGCAAGGCCUCAUGCUAUAGGAGCGGCCGAUGUCUGAUUAGCUAGUUGGUGGGGUAAAGGCCUACCAAGGCGACGAUCAGUAGCUGGGCUGAGAGGACGAUCAGGCACACUGGGACUGAGACACGGCCCAGGCUCCUACGGGAGUCAGCAGUGGGGAAUUUUGGACAAUGGGCGAAAGCCUGAUCCAGCAAUGCCGCGUGUGUGAAGAAGGCCUUCGGGUUGUAAAGCACUUUUGUCCGGAAAGAAAUGGCUCUGGUUAAUACCUGGGGUCGAUGACGGUACCGGAAGAAUAAGGACCGGCUAACUACGUGCCAGCCGCCGCCGCGG
This 508-nucleotide ribosomal RNA is filed under the name uncultured bacterium. RNAcentral describes it as "partial 16S ribosomal RNA". It matches the Rfam family "Bacterial small subunit ribosomal RNA", at positions 30 to 523 of the family's 1533-position model. The record is from RNAcentral.